AUUGAACGCUGGCGGCAGGCCUAACACAUGCAAGUCGAACGAGUGGCGGACGGGUGAGUAAUGUCUGGGAAACUGCCUGAUGGAGGGGGAUAACUACUGGAAACGGUAGCUAAUACCGCAUACCAUCGGAUGUGCCCAGAUGGGAUUAGCUAGUAGGUGGGGUAACGGCUCACCUAGGCGACGAUCCCUAGCUGGUCUGAGAGGAUGACCAGCCACACUGGAACUGAGACACGGUCCAGACUCCUACGUGAGGCAGCAGUGGGGAAUAUUGCACCAUGGGCGCAAGCCUGAUGCAUCCAUGCCGCGUGUAUGAAGAAGGCCUUCGGGUUGUAAAGUACUUUCAGCGAGGAGGCGUUACUCGCAGAAGAAGCACCGGCGAACUCCGUGCCAGCAGCCGCGGUAAUUC
This 406-nucleotide ribosomal RNA is filed under the name uncultured bacterium. RNAcentral's name for it is "partial 16S ribosomal RNA". It matches the Rfam family "Bacterial small subunit ribosomal RNA", at positions 30 to 526 of the family's 1533-position model. The record is from RNAcentral.